RNAcentral lists this long non-coding RNA (818 nucleotides) under Marmota monax (woodchuck). Lineage: Eukaryota; Metazoa; Chordata; Mammalia; Rodentia; Sciuridae. The record is from RNAcentral.
ACAUCCUGAAAACAGAAUAUUUUAAUACUUUUUAUGGAGAAAAUGUAUAUUUUAUGAAUGAAACCUAAGUCCAUUACUUUGUGGUUGUUAAAAAUAAAAGGGAUUGUAACAGGCUAAAAGGCAGGAAGAGGAAUGUUAAGGCACAGUUGUGUUCCUUUUGCCUUUAGGAACAGAAACUGAACACACUUAGUUUAAGCACAAGGAAUGAGGAUAACUCAUAAUUUGGUCAAAAACCAAAGAUAGAUUUACAACUGAACAUCAGAGAAUGUCUCAAAAACACAGAGCAACGGACUCACAAAAAGAGACUUUAAGACAUUAGAAAAAAACUGGAUUGGGAGGCCAUCAAGCCCAAAGCAAACCUCUUCAGAGCCACAAAGGCCCCAGCAAUGACAGAAUACUGGGUCACUUCAAGUGCUUGUGGGGAAUGUGUGCAUGCAGUACUGCACAACACUAUUGUUGGAAAGUAAAUGCUGUGUUCACCCUAAAAAACAAUCUGGUAAUAUUCAGAAAAGUUCAGGUAAUACUCUUUUGAGGAAACAGUUAUGUUUAUGGGCACCUGCUUCAGGUAAAUUCUCCCACAGUUGCAUAGGGACAGUUAUGUGUGGUGAUAGGGCACAGCAGAAAUACAAAUGUCCACUGCAGGACAAUGGAGAGGUAGGGUGUGCUAAGGCACAUCAGAGGCUACUGUGUCAGAGUUCAAAACUGCAGGUGAAAUGUACAUAAAAAGAUCUUACUAACUCACAAAGAAGGGCUUUGAUUGUAGAUUAGCAGUAGAGGUCUUGCCUGGCAUGCAUGAGGCCCUGGGUACACUUCCUAAU